UAGCCUUUGGAAACGAAGAUUAAUACCCCAUAGUAAGUAACUAUGGCAUCAUUAUUACUUUAAAGAUUUAUCGGUAUAAGAUGAGUAUGCGUUCUAUUAGCUAGAUGGAGAGGUAACGGCUCCCCAUGGCGACGAUAGAUAGGGGUCCUGAGAGGGAGAUCCCCCACACUGGUACUGAGACACGGACCAGACUCCUACGGGAGGCAGCAGUGAGGAAUAUUGGACAAUGGAGGCAACUCUGAUCCAGCCAUGCCGCGUGCAGGAAGACUGCCCUAUGGGUUGUAAACUGCUUUUAUACAGGAAGAAUAAGGCUUACGUGUAAGCUGAUGACGGUACUGUAAGAAUAAGCACCGGCUAACUCCGUGCCAGCAGCCGCGGUAAUACGGAGGGUGCAAGCGUUAUCCGGAAUCAUUGGGUUUAAAGGGUCCGUAGCGGGUUUAUAAGUCAGUGGUGAAAUGCUGUGGCUCAACCAUAGCACUGCCAUUGAUACUGUAGAUCUUGAAUCGUUGUGAAGUGGUUAGAAUAUGUAGUGUAGCGGUGAAAUGCUUAGAUAUUACAUAGAAUACCGAUUGCGAAGCAGAUCACUAACAACGUAUUGACGCUGAUGGACGAAAGCGUAGGUAGCGAACGGGAUUAGAUACCCCGGUAGUCUACGCCGUAAACGAUGGAUACUAGUUGUUUGGUAUUUAUACUG
Molecule: ribosomal RNA, 694 nt
Filed under: uncultured bacterium
Lineage: Bacteria
Description: bacterial SSU rRNA
Rfam family: Bacterial small subunit ribosomal RNA
Source: RNAcentral